ACGGACUUGUUCAAGUCCCUCUAUCCCCA
Molecule: transfer RNA, 29 nt
Filed under: Cestrum brevifolium
Lineage: Eukaryota; Viridiplantae; Streptophyta; Magnoliopsida; Solanales; Solanaceae
Description: partial tRNA-Leu
Source: RNAcentral